RNAcentral lists this long non-coding RNA (456 nucleotides) under Olea europaea subsp. europaea. The record is from RNAcentral. Lineage: Eukaryota; Viridiplantae; Streptophyta; Magnoliopsida; Lamiales; Oleaceae.
CCGGGUCAAACUGACCCGUCUCUCCCACUCGGGGGUCUCAAAACCCAUUCAAUUUUGCGAGUUUUCUUGUGCAGAAAGAAGAGAAUCCUUUAAAUCUCUGAGAAAAACCGGAGAAAUAGAAAAGGAAAAGUUAAAAGAAGAGGGAUGGAUCCGAAAAUUACAGAGGCUACACAAGCAUUCGAAAGAUUUAAAGCUGCGUUUGCGCGGAAUGAUUUUGACAAGUGUAAUGAACUCCUAUCCCAGCUCAAGGUACAACUCUAAUGACUAAAAAGCCCUAAUUUUUCUAAGAAAUUUUGUGAUUUAGUGAAAGAAAAACUCAUUCUUUACUGGAUUCCGGUUUUGAUUGACAUGAUUGAAAUGUCUUGUGUAGUUGUGAUAUUAUUAGCUUUUAAUGUUAUAUAUGGGUUUGUUCUGUAGAGAUAUUAAUGGGGUUAGAUCUAUGGAUUUUUGCUUGAG